Molecule: ribosomal RNA, 500 nt
Filed under: uncultured bacterium
Lineage: Bacteria
Description: partial 16S ribosomal RNA
Rfam family: Bacterial small subunit ribosomal RNA
Source: RNAcentral
AUUGAACGCUGGCGGCAUGCCUUACACAUGCAAGUCGAACGGCAGCACGGGAGCAAUCCUGGUGGCGAGUGGCGAACGGGUGAGUAAUAUAUCGGAACGUGCCCAGUCGUGGGGGAUAACGCAGCGAAAGCUGUGCUAAUACCGCAUACGAUCUACGGAUGAAAGCGGGGGAUCGCAAGACCUCGCGCGAUUGGAGCGGCCGAUAUCAGAUUAGCUAGUUGGUGGGGUAAAAGCCCACCAAGGCGACGAUCUGUAGCUGGUCUGAGAGGACGACCAGCCACACUGGAACUGAGACACGGUCCUGACUCCUACGGGAGGCAGCAGUGGGGAAUUUUGGACAAUGGGCGCAAGCCUGAUCCAGCAAUGCCGCGUGCAGGAUGAAGGCCUUCGGGUUGUAAACUGCUUUUGUACGGAACGAAACGGCUCUUUCUAAUAAAGAGGGCUAAUGACGGUACCGUAAGAAUAAGCACCGGCUAACUACGUGCCAGCAGCCGCAGUAA